GACGAACGCUGGCGGCGUGCCUAAUACAUGCAAGUCGAGCGGACCCCCGGAAGCUUGCUUCCGAUGGUCAGCGGCGGACGGGUGAGUAACACGUGGGUAACCUGCCUGACAGAUCGGGAUAACGCUUGGAAACGAGUGCUAAUACCGGAUAGGCUUCUCGGUCGCAUGGCUGAGAAGGGAAAGAGGCUUUCGCCUCGCUGUCAGAUGGACCCGCGGCGCAUUAGCUAGUUGGUGAGGUAACGGCUCACCAAGGCGACGAUGCGUAGCCGACCUGAGAGGGUGACCGGCCACACUGGGACUGAGACACGGCCCAGACUCCUACGGGAGGCAGCAGUAGGGAAUCUUCCACAAUGGGCGCAAGCCUGAUGGAGCAACGCCGCGUGAAUGAUGAAGGCCUUCGGGUUGUAAAAUUCUGUCUUCUGUGAAGAACAAGUGUGAGAAGAGAAUGCUCACACCCUGACGGUAACAGAGGAGGAAGCCCCGGCUAACUACGUGCCAGCAGCCGCUGUAACAC
This 514-nucleotide ribosomal RNA is filed under the name uncultured bacterium. RNAcentral's name for it is "bacterial SSU rRNA". It matches the Rfam family "Bacterial small subunit ribosomal RNA", at positions 28 to 526 of the family's 1533-position model. The record is from RNAcentral.